Molecule: unclassified non-coding RNA, 434 nt
Filed under: Hevea brasiliensis (rubber tree)
Lineage: Eukaryota; Viridiplantae; Streptophyta; Magnoliopsida; Malpighiales; Euphorbiaceae
Source: RNAcentral
GCUGGGGAUGCAGUAACGGUGGAGCUAGCAGAGUCGGCUAGGGGGCGGGUGAAGGCGAGCAGUGACUGGGUGAUUAACAGCAUGAACAUGGGGACCGAUAGCUACGGUGUCACCACCGGCUUCGGCGCCACAUCUCACCGCCGGACAAAGAAGACUGCAGAUCUCCAAGCCGAGCUUAUCCGGUUUCUUAAUGCCGGUGUGAUCGGGAAGGAGUCGCUGCCGACGAGCUACGCCAAGAUCGCCAUGCUGGUCAGGACCAACACUCUCAUGCAGGGGUACUCGGGGAUUCGAUGGGAGCUUCUUGAGGCCAUGGCGACUCUCAUGAACCAGAAUCUCAUCCCGAAGUUGCCACUACGAGGCACCAUCAGCGCCUCCGGCGAUCUCGUGCCGCUGUCGUAUAUCGCCGGACUUCUCACCGGCCGGCACAACUCCAA